UACGGGGGGGGCUAGCGUUGUUCGGAAUUACUGGGCGUAAAGCGCACGUAGGCGGACUGUUAAGUCGGGGGUGAAAUCCUGGGGCUCAACCUCAGAAUUGCCUCCGAUACUGGCAGUCUCGAGUGCGGGAGAGGUGAGUGGAAUUCCCAGUGUAGAGGUGAAAUUCGUAGAUAUUGGGAAGAACACCAGUGGCGAAGGCGGCUCACUGGCCCGUAACUGACGCUGAGGUGCGAAAGCGUGGGGAGCAAACAGG
This 253-nucleotide ribosomal RNA is filed under the name uncultured bacterium. Its description in RNAcentral is "partial 16S ribosomal RNA". It matches the Rfam family "Bacterial small subunit ribosomal RNA", at positions 524 to 776 of the family's 1533-position model. The record is from RNAcentral.